This 254-nucleotide ribosomal RNA is filed under the name uncultured bacterium. Its description in RNAcentral is "partial 16S ribosomal RNA". It matches the Rfam family "Bacterial small subunit ribosomal RNA", at positions 524 to 776 of the family's 1533-position model. The record is from RNAcentral.
UACGUAGGGGGCGAGCGUUGUCCGGAUUUAUUGGGCGUAAAACGCUUGUAGGCGGCCACCGCGCGUCGGACGUGAAAUCUCCCGGCUCAACUGGGAGGGGUCGUGCGAUACGGCGGGGCUCGAGGCCGGUAGGGGGACGCGGAAUUCCCGGUGUAGUGGUGGAAUGCGUAGAUAUUCGGAAGAACACCAGUGGCGAAGGCGGCUCACUGGCCCGGUACUGACGCUGAGGUGCGAAAGCGUGGGGAGCAAACAGG